This 332-nucleotide ribosomal RNA is filed under the name uncultured Anaerolineaceae bacterium. RNAcentral describes it as "bacterial SSU rRNA". It matches the Rfam family "Bacterial small subunit ribosomal RNA", at positions 1035 to 1382 of the family's 1533-position model. Lineage: Bacteria; Bacillati; Chloroflexota; Anaerolineae; Anaerolineales; Anaerolineaceae. The record is from RNAcentral.
CAGGUGUUGCAUGGCUGUCGUCAGCUCGUGUCGUGAGAUGUUCGGUUAAGUCCGCUAACGAGCGCAACCCUCGUCGUAUGUUAUAUGUGUCAUACGAGACUGCCGGUAAAAGCCGGAGGAAGGUGAGGAUGAUGUCAAGUCAGCAUGACCUUUAUAUCCAGGGCUACACACACGCUACAAUGGUCUGUACAAUGGGUAGCCAAGCCGCGAGGCGGAGCCAAUCCUGAAAGCAGGCCUCAGUUCAGAUUGCAGUCUGCAACUCGACUGCAUGAAGCCGGAGUUGCUAGUAACCGCAGGUCAGCAAUACUGCGGUGAAUACGUUCCCGGGUCUU